Molecule: long non-coding RNA, 681 nt
Organism: Chenopodium quinoa (quinoa)
Lineage: Eukaryota; Viridiplantae; Streptophyta; Magnoliopsida; Caryophyllales; Amaranthaceae
Exons: 2
Source: RefSeq, a predicted model, not a curated record
ACAAAUCGUUAGUAGUUGGUAACCCAUUCCACCAAAUUGUUUACGAUGUAAUAAGUGAGGAAACAGAUUUUGUUUCCUUCCUCUAACACAAAAAAUAAAGAAAACACUUCUUUCUUCUCUUCUUUCGUUCGAAAAUUUUCAAAGAAAUUCCUAAACUUGUUCGACAAUUCUACAAAGAAAGUUGCGAUUCUUCAGAUUUUGCUACAAAAUUUUCAAUUGUCUACUUCAAAUCUUCAAAAAUCAUCACAGGUAAAGGGUACGGUGGUGAAUAGGCAAGCUAAUCUCAGAUGGAAGAACCCAAUAACUGAAUCUUUCAAGAUUAAUACUGAUGGUUCGUUGGCUUACUGGCAAGGCGUGGAGAAUUAAAGCUAGGAUUCCUGCCGAAGUGGAGCUCAUAGCAAUCAGAAACGACAUGAAAAUGGCGAUAAAAGGAAGUUAUGAUGGUGAAGAAUCAAAAGGGUAAAGGGAGGAUAUUUUGUAGAAAGGCUUGUGUUUGAUAUGACUUCUUGUGUUGUGAUUUUGUGUUGUGUUAAUGUUUUUGAUUGAAUGAAUAGUUGUAGAUAGAGCUUGAAAGAUUUAUGUGGAAACUUCCACAUAUGUAGAUCUUUUUAAACAACAACACCGUACCACCACUACCAUCGUCGUACCGACAUCAUCAACAACAAUUUUCGCCCUUUCGCU